AUUUUUCUUUGUUUUUGUUUGUUUUUCUCUCCUUGGGUUCUAAACAGAUGACCAUACUGAGCACAUUUAUUAGAAUUACAAUUUAAGUUAAAAUAAAAUCUGCAUUACUGUAUGUGGCAGGAUGAAUGUUAUCCUUCGGUCCAACCCACUUUCAGCCUGGCCCAUUAGGGGGCGCUGGUAUAAAUAGUGGCCAUUUGAGUGUCUCUGCGUCGCUUGCCUGUGAUCUCCUUUUUGGUCACCUGACUUCCCCUCGGCGUGGUGGAGAUCAUUUGCGGGUUAUUCUUCUGAAGCCUCCAUCGCGGCUGGUCGUAGCUAUAGAAGCCUCCUCUGAGCUAUUCUGCUUACGUUCUGUGACCCGGCUUACUUGCUUUUACAGUGGACGUCGGCGUGGACAACGGCCAUAUGCAUGCCGGUUAUCGGAGUCAGCUGGCGUGCAUAUUGAUUGACUGUUAACUUAUCGUCGUGUGGACGGCAAGUUGGAGCAGUACGGCGAUUCCGUUUGCUCCAGAUUUUAGAGUUUUAUUCAGAUUGUAUGUUGUUUUAUUGCUUUUUGAUUUGUAUUUGGAUUUUCUGUUACACCACUGGUGGGAGGCCCUUUUUCUAGCUGUAGAUCACCAGUGUGGUCCUGCAGUUGGGUUAUCCCCCGGUGCUACACAUUAGUUUGUUGUAAUAUAUUAACAUUUUCUUUGUUUCUUUUAUUCAGAUGCGGAGUGCCGACGUGGAGGAGACUAGGGUGCCUUGGUGGUGGGAUCCCUUGAGUGUACACACCUGCCUUGUCUAGUUUAUUAGUGUGAGUGUGUGAUAGUGUGUUGCACUUGUGUUUUGGUGUGUUUUCUUUCUUUAGUUGUGUGUGGCAUCCCUGCCCCUCCACUGGUAAGCCUCAGCUCUGAAUACCUUUUUAAGCAUAUUUGUAUUUGAAUAUUUAUGAUUAUGUUUUUAUUCGGUGUUUUAAAUAAUUACCAAUAAAUUGUCAAUUUGUUUAUUAUUGAA
Molecule: long non-coding RNA, 990 nt
Organism: Astatotilapia calliptera (eastern happy)
Lineage: Eukaryota; Metazoa; Chordata; Actinopteri; Cichliformes; Cichlidae
Source: Ensembl